UGCGGGAGGAAGAAUCAUAUAUUAGAUAAAAUUGUUGGAUUAUAAUAGGGGAUAUUACACAAGGAAAAUCAUCCAAAUGGAUAUACAAUCUAAAUUUUUUCUUGACUUAAAUUGAAAGAAUCCAUCAACAUCCAUAGAACUUAACUAAAACACAAUCGACGAACAUCAUCCAACAGGAACAUGAUCCCUACAACUUAACUAAAACUGAAACCAUCCGUCUUCAUCAUCCUGAACAGGAACAUCAUCAUCAUUGUAGUAUACUUGCCACACACACCCAUAGAAUCUUCCAUUUAUCUUUUGAAUCUACAAAAAAUGAACUGUUAACACACAAUGCAUUGACAUGAUGCAAGUACUGAUAUAGGCAGGAUAUUAGUCACCUACAAAGGUUGACAUGCACAACUAAAUCUGCAUUACCAAGAGUUGCAAUUUUUGCGACUCUGUACCUAAUCUUCAGUUUUCACAAGUGCCAUCUCGACAUGCACUACCUAGAAUUCAUUAGUAAUUUCAGCACCAUCAAGUUCAAAUUUAGGAUCACAACUUACAACUGUAGCAAGAUCUACAUUUAUGUUAUGAUUUUUUAGGCUCGUUAAAAAUACUUUGUUUUCCUGCCUGUUAGAGAAAAUAAAAGUUACCAUGGGCAGAAUCAUGUCAAGCAAAAUAAUUAAUAGAAACAUGACAUAUAACACAAAAUGUUGAGAGGCCAAGACAUGUCGUGUUUGCAUCUUUUCCUCUACUUUAUGGUUAUGAAUACAUUCUUCUACAUGUUAAUCUCGUGAUGUGCAACAUCUAUGAAAUUCUAUGAAGCCUUUCACUACAAACAAAGUAGUUUUGGUGAUGAACACUUAAAAUAAUUAAACUUCAUAUGAUACCUUUAAUGUAGAACACAAAGAUAGACAUUUUUAUUCGAGUAGCAGUAUGGUAUGAUAAACUGCAUAAUUCUGAGGCACCUACUGGAAGAUAGAGAAGCAGUGUGUUUGACCAUUAAUCAAGUAACAAAACAUUACAAUAUCAAUACCUGGGACAUAUUAAGCCAAAAGAUAAAUUAAAUUUACCAAAUUAGUACAAAUAAAACAUAUUAGACAAUAAAAAGAAGCUUUGAAGCAUAACAUCCAUCAUAAAUGAGGUACUCCCAGUACCGACCCAAUGAUUUUGCAUGCACUGCAGCGAGGACAGCAGGGCGGAUCAAGCAUUAGUUCAUAUUUACCACCAAGUCCUAAUAAAAUAGCUAGUAUAUAUAUCCAGAUCAAACUCUAACUAGCACAUCUGAGCAGAUAAAUCAAAGGCAAUGACACUAUUAAGAAAAGGAGAAGACGCAGCAGAGAAAACAAGACUGUAGUAUGUUCGAAAAAAUAAUUAGGAUGUCUUGUUUGUAGACUUCAAAUACAAAUCAGAUAGAGAUAUGGUGAUAUAUUUAAUUGGAAGUUGCAGGCAUCCAAAAAAUAAUAUUGAAUAUAUAUGGUCUAAUAAUUGAAGGACACUAUAGAUGAACGGUGCCUAUUAAAGUGAUAUUGAAACAAUUGACAUUAUUUUUCUUUUUCUUUUUGCAACCCAUCAGUACAUGACCUCAUGAUGAAUCAGAAACAUGUUAGUAUUUAUAAAGUGGCCAUAUGCUACAAAUUUGCUUCUCUUUUCCCCAUGGUGUGUAUUCUUCGUUGUAAAUAAAAAACAAUCAAGAGAAUAAAGGAGUGACACUACGGAUGUAGGCAAGCGUAGUAUAAAGAGGAAGCACGAACCACAAAAGAAGUGUCUAGAAUUUGGUAAACUAGCAGACAGAACCGUGUAGGUAUAUGUUGUUAAUAAUAGAAGAAGGGGACAUCAAUCAAAUUGCAAAAGCCAAGUGAAUAAAUGGAAAACACCUAUGGUUUUGUAUUCCUGGAACACAAUCUAGUUCAGUUAUCUUAAAAAAAUACAGAAGUCAGAUAGGUUGUAAUAGGUGUGGAAUUUUAUCUAACAUGUCAGUUGAGUAAAUAAGUACUAAUUGUCUCAGCGUAGUUUUAUAAGAUUUGUUUCCCUUCUACUGUAUUUAGUGGUUACAUAGUAAACAAAUUUCUGUUCAUAAAUCAUAAGUAAAUCGCAAGAUCUGCUUGCAUAAAAAAAUUGAUAUGACAUUCAGCUCACAUAAACAUCUUUUUAAAUGGCAAGCAUAGCUCAUGGUAGAUGUACUCAAUAAUAUUUUUCAGAGUUUUGUGACAAGCAACAGUGAUUGAUCACCAGAUUACCUUCCUUUCGAUCUUGAACUCUAACUAUAGUGGGGAGAAAGCCUUAUGCAGCUGAGUGCUAAUUUCACCAGAUGUUGAUGGAUGAUAAUGCGGAGAACUGUGGAUCAGAAGCCCUCAGAUCCAACAAGUACUCAGCUUUGCCAUGCUCUACCCUGAUAUCCUUCUCCCACAACGUCGCGGCAGCCUAGUCGACCAAGCUGCGUAAAGCUAUCAACCUGCUCCUCAAUUUGUAGUAGCAGAGAGCAUAGAGAUCUAAAUGGUCUUUUAAGCGAAUGAAAUAUAUAUAAAAAGUUACUGAACCGUGCCUCAAAUAAAAGAGGGGGUAAGUUUUGGGGUCAUGUCCAUUGCAACAUAUUCGAUGCUUGAGUGCGAUUGCAUUUCUCUGCACCGAGUGGAGGUAAUUAUUACUUAGUAGAGAAAUUUGAUUUGUAACUUGCUCUGAAGUAUCGAAAAGAAAUAUGACCAUAUGACGGAGUGACUUAUCAGGCCUACAACAUAAGAAAGUGGCACCAUAAGCAAAAAGUGGAACUUUGAAUUGUCAUCAUCAACCACGGGACUAACACAAGCAGCCUUAUUAUACAAUCAGUCAACUAACGAUUGCACAAUCAAAUCUUACUUCCAUGGGCUCGUGACAGGGUCCUAUAAGCCAUAACUGAAAUCAAUUGAAUCACAACAAGAGGCUCUAGCUAGAAGCUCCCCUCCGCACAAACCAUCUAUAAUUCAACUUGUCCGUCAUUAUCAGGGACUGGCAAGUCGUAACUAGAAAUCCCCAACAAUACUGAAGUCAAAUAGAGAAAGGUUGGGAGAAUAAAAUUGGGAGAAGAGAACUGGUCCGGCUCACCAUGGCAGCGCGAUCGCGAGGGUGGUUGCAGCAGUAACUCCGCC
RNAcentral lists this long non-coding RNA (3104 nucleotides) under Triticum aestivum (bread wheat). Its description in RNAcentral is "long non-coding RNA (TAES_LNC006377)". Lineage: Eukaryota; Viridiplantae; Streptophyta; Magnoliopsida; Poales; Poaceae. The record is from RNAcentral.